GGGUUGUGAGGUUAAGCGACUAAGCGUACACGGUGGAUGCCCUGGCAGUCAGAGGCGAUGAAGGACGUGCUAAUCUGCGAUAAGCGCCGGUAAGGUGAUAUGAACCGUUAUAACCGGCGAUUUCCGAAUGGGGAAACCCAGUGUGACUCGUCACACUAUCAUUAACUGAAUCCAUAGGUUAAUGAGGCGAACCGGGGGAACUGAAACAUCUAAGUACCCCGAGGAAAAGAAAUCAACCGAGAUUCCCCCAGUAGCAGCGAGCGAACGGGGAGGAGCCCAGAGCCUGAAUCAGCAUGUGUGUUAGUGGAAGCGUCUGGAAAGGCGCGCGAUACAGGGUGACAGCCCCGUACACAAAAGCGCAUGUGUUGUGAGCUCGAUGAGUAGGGCGGGACACGUGGUAUCCUGUCUGAAUAUGGGGGGACCAUCCUCCAAGGCUAAAUACUCCUGACUGACCGAUAGUGAACCAGUACCGUGAGGGAAAGGCGAAAAGAACCCCGGCGAGGGGAGUGAAAAAGAACCUGAAACCGUGUACGUACAAGCAGUGGGAGCCCCACCACUAAGCCAGUGGUGAACUCCACAUACGCAUCCUUUGCUGAAGGUGCGGUUAACGGAGCGCAAGCGACGUUCAACCUCAAAAGAAGCAGAGGGGGCUUAGUGGUGGGGUGACUGCGUACCUUUUGUAUAAUGGGUCAGCGACUUAUAUUCUGUAGCA
Molecule: ribosomal RNA, 712 nt
Filed under: Salmonella enterica subsp. enterica serovar Kentucky
Lineage: Bacteria; Pseudomonadati; Pseudomonadota; Gammaproteobacteria; Enterobacterales; Enterobacteriaceae
Description: partial 23S ribosomal RNA
Rfam family: Bacterial large subunit ribosomal RNA
Source: RNAcentral